UAUUCUCGCCAUGGGUUGCACUGGAAGUGGUAGAUUGGAAUUAACUCACUAGAAUUCCAAUAACGUUUCAUGGGAUUAAAAACACAAACUUCCUGGGCCCUGAUGAGGACUAGAAAGGGCUCCCUAUACACCCCCAUUCACAAAAAUGACUGUAAGUAUUGGGUGGUCUGAUUACAUGGUGCAUUCUGUUUCUAUUUAGCAGUAAUUCCUGGGCUGCACACACUCCUUUUAAAUUAUGGAAUGUAAUUAUCCUUUCCUCCAGCCUCUCUGCUUUUCAUCUACCCUUACUAUUGUCUUUGCUGUGGCUUCUUAGGAGUUUCUCUGAUGGGGCCUUAAUCCAGUAACAAACUGCAAUGGAACUCAGCCAUAAAAGCUGGAUAGCAAAACAGAUAAGAUCACUAUUUCAGAUAUUGCUGUAAUCAAAAGGAAUUUCUGCAUAUUUCUGGAAACAUGAAGGCUCCCUUCCAGUUCAUUGAGGCCAUAUGUUGAGUUCCAGCCACUAGAAUAUGAGCAGAAGCGAUUCUUGCCACUUGCAGUUUGUGCCCAAAGAGGGUAUGCUGGUGAUUCUACAUUGAAGCAGUCUUACCUUGACAUCCCCAAACAUUUCUGGUAGAUUAUGUGUUUUGGGGCCUAAAUCCAAGUGAUACUGCACAGAGUCAGACAAGCAGAAGCCACUCCACAGGUGGUAAAGGAGAGACAGACAUAAAAAAAAAAGAACAUAAUCCAUCUUAAAAAUAUACCCUAAGAAUGAGUCCCAACUCAUUCUUCCUGCUGCUGGAUGGGGACCUGGAGAAACUGCAAGCCACUUCUUGGAGGCGACAAAACAACAAGAUGGAAGGAGCUGGAUUCCAGAGCCCAGUUUGAGGAAAGCCAUCCAUCAACUAGGAACGGCUACUCUCUAUUUAACGGGAGCAAGAAGUAAACGUACAUCAUGCUAAGUCUCUGAGAUUUGCAGUGGCGGGUGGUAAUGUGAAGAUAUGAAGGAAAUAAGGGUGAUUGUCAGAGUCUUUCAGGUUUAAACUUUACAUGUCCAGAAUUCUCCUUCCUUUUGAAAAUAAUGUUGAUAAUAAUCAUCAUCAUUUCUGUGAAGACAAGGCUGAGGUUUCAGGUACAAUAGAUUAUGUACCCAGCCAUUGCUGUCCUGAGAUUUAAGGGAGUAAUAAAUUGAACCUAGAAUGUUCUCAUUUAAAGAGAAGAAUGUGGCCAAAGGAAGACUAGGUCCUGAUAAAAACAUCUGUGGAAAUAAAUAAAAUUUUACCUGCUGCCUCCAUAACAUUCUGGUUUAGAUUAGACAACCAGUUCUGACCAUUUGAAAUCAUGUCAUCUGCUCAUCACUCUAAACACACACACACACACACACACACACACACACAUGCACACACUUUUGUCUCCUAUCAAUAUAAUCCAAUCAGUAGAGUUGCUCUUUGGAGGGCUAAAACAGAUUGUAAACAGAACGUUCUUUUACACAAAAUGAAUCUGCUGAAGUUCCACAUCAGAUGGGUGGAGAGCUUGUAAGUCUGGAGAGUAGUUCUGACAGAGUGUGAAAAUAAGUGCAGAUGAAAAUCCAGUCAGGCAGAGAAACAGAGAAUAAAGGCCUUGGUCCUGGGAUUGUAACUGAGGUGAGGGGUGUGUGUGUGUGACUAUUUUCAUCUCUAAAGCAAGCCCAUUGAUUUGUCAGAAAUUGACAAAGUACCAAAAUGUAGUGGUUUUUUUUUUUUUUUAAUGUUGGAAGCACCAUUACUUUUUUCAAUCAGAGAAACCUAAGAUUUAGUCCCAACUCAUUCACUUACCAGCUGUGUUGUGCUUAUUAUUAACAGAUAAAUAAUGAUUUUGUAUACUGCUAUGUAUUUGUUUGAACCCCAGUUUCCUUAUGUAGAAAGAGGAGAUAACAGCUCUGUAGAAACUGUGGAGACUGAAUGGUAUACAUUUGCGGAUACUGCACAGAGUCAGAGAAGCAGAAGCCACUCCACAGGUGGUAGAGGAGAGACAGACGUUAAAAAAAAAAGAACAUAAUCCAUCUUAAAAAUAUACCCUAAGUCUCUCUAACUUAUGAGCUACAUGCAUAAUUGAGUUUUUAGGUUAUGCUGAGCAUUUUAUUCAUCAAGAUAAUCCCUAGAUUACCAUGGGAAAACAGCUAUGAGGCAACUUGAUCAACGACUCUUGGAGCAUAAGCAUCAGAAACAGUGUAGGGAGAAGGUAGAGCAGAAGACAGUGGAGGCUACAUGAAGGCAAGGAGCAGUAGUCUGGCGGGCGAUGGAGAAAGGGCCAGGCGUCUGCUGUCAGGAUUCUUCCCGCAGCCCUGCUCAC
Molecule: long non-coding RNA, 2307 nt
Organism: Chinchilla lanigera (long-tailed chinchilla)
Lineage: Eukaryota; Metazoa; Chordata; Mammalia; Rodentia; Chinchillidae
Exons: 3
Source: RefSeq, a predicted model, not a curated record